This 514-nucleotide ribosomal RNA is filed under the name Glutamicibacter sp. RNAcentral's name for it is "bacterial SSU rRNA". It matches the Rfam family "Bacterial small subunit ribosomal RNA", at positions 122 to 650 of the family's 1533-position model. The record is from RNAcentral. Lineage: Bacteria; Bacillati; Actinomycetota; Actinomycetes; Micrococcales; Micrococcaceae.
UAACCUGCCCCCGACUCUGGGAUAAGCCCGGGAAACUGGGUCUAAUACCGGAUAUUACCUUUGACCGCAUGGUUGUUGGUGGAAAGAUUUAUCGGUGGGGGAUGGACUCGCGGCCUAUCAGCUUGUUGGUGAGGUAAUGGCUCACCAAGGCGACGACGGGUAGCCGGCCUGAGAGGGUGACCGGCCACACUGGGACUGAGACACGGCCCAGACUCCUACGGGAGGCAGCAGUGGGGAAUAUUGCACAAUGGGCGAAAGCCUGAUGCAGCGACGCCGCGUGAGGGAUGACGGCCUUCGGGUUGUAAACCUCUUUCAGUAGGGAAGAAGCGAAAGUGACGGUACCUGCAGAAGAAGCGCCGGCUAACUACGUGCCAGCAGCCGCGGUAAUACGUAGGGCGCAAGCGUUAUCCGGAUUUAUUGGGCGUAAAGAGCUCGUAGGCGGUUUGUCGCGUCUGCCGUGAAAGUCCGAGGCUCAACCUCGGAUCUGCGGUGGGUACGGGCAGACUAGAGUGAU